This 496-nucleotide ribosomal RNA is filed under the name uncultured bacterium. RNAcentral's name for it is "partial 16S ribosomal RNA". It matches the Rfam family "Bacterial small subunit ribosomal RNA", at positions 28 to 506 of the family's 1533-position model. The record is from RNAcentral.
GAUGAACGCUGGCGGCGUGCCUAAUACAUGCAAGUCGAGCGAACGGACGAGAAGCUUGCUUCUCUGAUGUUAGCGGCGGACGGGUGAGUAACACGUGGAUAACCUACCUAUAAGACUGGGAUAACUUCGGGAAACCGGAGCUAAUACCGGAUAAUAUUUUGAACCGCAUGGUUCAAAAGUGAAAGACGGUCUUGCUGUCACUUAUAGAUGGAUCCGCGCUGCAUUAGCUAGUUGGUAAGGUAACGGCUUACCAAGGCAACGAUGCAUAGCCGACCUGAGAGGGUGAUCGGCCACACUGGAACUGAGACACGGUCCAGACUCCUACGGGAGGCAGCAGUAGGGAAUCUUCUGCAAUGGGCGAAAGCCUGACGGAGCAACGCCGCGUGAGUGAUGAAGGUCUUCGGAUCGUAAAACUCUGUUAUUAGGGAAGAACAUAUGUGUAAGUAACUGUGCACAUCUUGACGGUACCUAAUCAGAAAGCCACGGCUAACUACGU